Molecule: ribosomal RNA, 499 nt
Filed under: uncultured bacterium
Lineage: Bacteria
Description: bacterial SSU rRNA
Rfam family: Bacterial small subunit ribosomal RNA
Source: RNAcentral
UCAGGAUGAACGCUAGCUACAGGCUUAACACAUGCAAGUCGAGGGGUAGCAGGGUAGCAAUACCGCUGACGACCGGCGCACGGGUGAGUAACACGUAUCCAACCUUCCCAUAACGUCAGGGAUAGCCUUUCGAAAGAAAGAUUAAUACCUGAUAGUACUUUUUCAAGGCAUCUUGAAAAAGUUAAAGAUUUAUUGGUUAUGGAUGGGGAUGCGUUCCAUUAGAUAGUUGGUGAGGUAACGGCUCACCAAGUCUUCGAUGGAUAGGGGUUCUGAGAGGAAGGUCCCCCACAUUGGUACUGAGACACGGACCAAACUCCUACGGGAGGCAGCAGUGAGGAAUAUUGGUCAAUGGGCGAGAGCCUGAACCAGCCAAAGUAGCGUGAAGGAUGAAGGUCCUAUGGAUUGUAAACUGCUUUUCCCCGGGAAGAAUAAGCCCCUCGUGAGGGGUGAUGCCGGUACCGGGGGAAUAAGGAUCGGCUAACUCCGUGCCAGCCGCCGC